GGAGUCCGCGCGUGCCCGCGCCGAGCCGCCUGCUCAGGCGGCUUCGCUGCUAGCUCGCGGGGACGUCGGGCCGGUUUUUCCAGGAUGACCGAGCUGAGGCAGAGGGUGGCCCAUGAGCCGGAUGCGCCACCCGAGGACAAGAUAAUUGGAGGGUCCACCAUCACUUUGUCACCUGAUCAAUGGUUGGCUGGAGCUGAGGAUCAUCUGUUCCCACCAAUCCCUGUUGCCUUACACCAGGCUCACGGCUUCCCCUAAUGCAGCCUGUAACUUUUUGAUGACUGGACGCAACGGACAUUAGGGAGACACCAAGAAGGAAGAAAGCACAAGAUUUGGUGACAGGAUGUCAACAGAGCAGUUACACUAGGAGGAAUGUUUUUAGUGAAAGAUAAUGAGAUCGUGGGUUUUUUAAAACAACUUUCGUGUUAUUGCAGUUGUCAGUGGACUAUCCAAAGAGAACUGUUCCUACUGAUUUUUAGAACAUAUAUUUUGGCCAGGCACAGUGCUGCUUGCCUGUAAUCCUAGCUUCUAGGGAGGCUGAGGCAGGAGGAUCACUUGAGCCCAGGAGUUUGAGACCCUGUCUCAAAAAACAAAAACAAAAACAUAUUUUGAAGAAAAUUUAGGGCUGGGGCUGAGGAUUUAGCAGUCACUUGCAGAGACAAGAUACUUUGAAGUCUCUAAUUUUUCAUUUGGCUAUCCUGGUUCAGCCUGAAAGAAUUCUGACUUACCUUGUACUACUAGCUGGAGUCAGAGUCAGAAGCAAAGGUAGAUGGAGAGACUGCAUCGGACAGUGAAAGCCGGGCAGAAUCCGCACCCCUGCCAGUCUCUGCAGAUGAUACCCCGGAGGUCCUCAAUAGGGCCCUUUCCAACUUGUCUUCAAGAUGGAAGAACUGGUGGGUGAGAGGCAUCCUGACUUUGGCCAUGAUUGCAUUUUUCUUCAUCAUCAUUUACCUGGGACCAAUGGUUUUAAUGAUAAUCGUGAUGUGCGUUCAGAUUAAGUGUUUCCAUGAGAUAAUCACUAUUGGCUACAACGUCUACCACUCCUAUGAUCUGCCCUGGUUCAGGACCCUCAGCUGGUACUUUCUCCUGUGUGUAAACUAUUUCUUCUAUGGUGAGACAGUGACGGAUUACUUCUUCACCCUGGUCCAGAGAGAAGAGCCUUUGCGGAUUCUCAGUAAAUACCACCGGUUCAUUUCCUUUACUCUCUAUCUAAUAGGAUUCUGCAUGUUUGUACUGAGUCUGGUCAAGAAGCAUUAUCGACUGCAGUUCUACAUGUUUGGCUGGACCCAUGUGACGUUGCUGAUUGUUGUAACACAGUCACAUCUUGUUAUCCACAACCUAUUUGAAGGAAUGAUCUGGUUCAUUGUCCCCAUAUCUUGUGUGAUCUGUAAUGACAUCAUGGCCUAUAUGUUUGGCUUUUUCUUUGGUCGGACCCCACUCAUCAAGCUGUCCCCGAAGAAGACCUGGGAAGGCUUCAUUGGGGGCUUCUUUGCUACUGUGGUGUUUGGCCUUCUGCUGUCCUAUGUGAUGUCCGGGUACAGAUGCUUUGUCUGCCCUGUGGAGUACAACAACGACACCAACAGCUUCACUGUGGACUGUGAGCCCUCGGACCUGUUUCGCCUGCAGGAGUACAAUAUUCCUGGGGUGAUCCAGUCAGUCAUUGGCUGGGUAUGUGCCACUCACAGGGGGUGAGCGGCCUCCAUGGACAGUGGCUACAAAGAGAGAUCCCCCUACAUCACCUGCCCUCUGAAAAAAGCUAGCUUCCUCCUUCCCAAAGCUGUAAGCCCCAGGAUGAAGGAGAAUUGCUCACUCCAGGUCAGGGUGUGGGCAGGAGACCUUUCCCCUAACAUCAGAUUGUUUAGACCAGUGGUUUUCAAAGUGUGUUCUGUGGAUCCCUGGAGGGCCCUGGGAUCCUUUUAGUUACGGGGGUAGGGUGGGGGGUCUGUGAGGUCACAACUGUUUCAUAAUUAGACUAUCACAUUUCCCUUUUUCAAUGUGUUGACAUUAGCUGUGAUAGGACACAAAAGCAGCAGUGGUUAAAACUGCGUUAAGGCAGUGGGUUCGUCAUGCCACACACUCACAGUACAAACAGGCCAGUUCUUCUAAUGAAUGUCUAUGAAAUAGUAAAGUUACUAAUUUUGUUAAAUCUUGACCUUUGUACACACACCUUUUUAAUACUCUCUACUGAAAUGGAAAGUAUGUGUAAAACAUUUCUGCUAAGUACUGUAGUACAGUGCUUGCCUAAAGGGAAAGCAUGUGUGCAGUUGUUUGAGUUGUGAGCUGAAUUAGCUGCUUUUUUCUAGAAAAGAAAGUAAAUUUUACUUGGAAAGAACCAACAAAUUAUAAUUUUUCAGACUUGGGUAUUUGGCAGACAUUUUUCUUGAAAAGGAUGAAGUGAGCCUAUCACUUUAAAGAAAACAACUGAGGCUAGGCACAGUGGCUCAACACCUGAAAUCCCAGCACUUUGGAAGGCCGAGGCAGGCGGAUCUCUUGAGGUCAGGAGUUCCAGACCAGCCUGGGUAACAUGGCGAAACCCUGUCUCUACUAAAAAUACAAAAAAAUUAGGGGGGUGGUGGCGUGUGCCUGUAAUCCCAGCUACCAGCUACUCAGGAGGUUGAGUUGCUUGAACGGAGGCGGAGGAUGCAGUGAGCCAAGAUCGCAACACUGCACUCCAGCCUGGGCGACAGAGUGAGAUUGUCUC
RNAcentral lists this small RNA (2698 nucleotides) under Pongo abelii (Sumatran orangutan). RNAcentral's name for it is "processed transcript". Lineage: Eukaryota; Metazoa; Chordata; Mammalia; Primates; Hominidae. The record is from RNAcentral.